This 373-nucleotide long non-coding RNA is filed under the name Carica papaya (papaya). RNAcentral's name for it is "long non-coding RNA (CPAP_LNC014449)". Lineage: Eukaryota; Viridiplantae; Streptophyta; Magnoliopsida; Brassicales; Caricaceae. The record is from RNAcentral.
AAGUGGGUUUUAGGCUUGGUGAUACAUACCUUGAUACUUUAUCUUUACUUUUUUUUCGUAUUCUGCCAGUUUCUCGAAAAAAUGAGAGUAAAACCAGAGAAAAGUGAUUUUGAUAAAUGUAUGGGUGAAGAAGUUGAACUUAAAUACACCACGCAUCCAAACGCGAUCAUAAAGAUUUACAGCUGUAUAUUCUCCUAUUGUUGUUGUCAGCUAUUCUUUUUUUUAAACUAACAGUAAGGUAUAAAAAGUGGGUUUUAGGUUUAGGGAUAUAUACCUCGAUACUUUUUCUUCUUCUUUUUCACUUUCUAUAUGUUUCUCAACAAAAUUAGAGUAAAACUAGAGAAAAUUGAUUUUGAUAAAUGUAUGGGUGAAG